GACAGAGGAUGCAAGCGUUAUCCGGAAUGAUUGGGCGUAAAGCGUCUGUAGGUGGCUUUCUAAGUCUGCCGUCAAAUCCCAGGGCUUAACCCUGGACAGGCGGUGGAAACUACCAAGCUGGAGUACGGUAGGGGCAGGGGGAAUUUCCGGUGGAGCGGUGAAAUGCGUAGAGAUCGGAAAGAACACCAACGGCGAAAGCACUCUGCUGGGCCGACACUGACACUGAGAGACGAAAGCUAGGGGAGCGAAUGGG
This 253-nucleotide ribosomal RNA is filed under the name uncultured bacterium. Its description in RNAcentral is "partial 16S ribosomal RNA". It matches the Rfam family "Bacterial small subunit ribosomal RNA", at positions 524 to 776 of the family's 1533-position model. The record is from RNAcentral.